RNAcentral lists this small RNA (79 nucleotides) under Oryza sativa Japonica Group (Japanese rice). Its description in RNAcentral is "sRNA Os07g0604466". The record is from RNAcentral. Lineage: Eukaryota; Viridiplantae; Streptophyta; Magnoliopsida; Poales; Poaceae.
CGACGUAUCCGUCGGGUGUCCACGACAUGACGUCCCAUUUGAUGGUGAUGUUGCCGUUGGGGUCGAGCGGAUCAUAAGC